AGCAGCCGCGGUAAUUCCAGCUCCAAUAGCGUAUAUUAAAGUUGUUGCAGUUAAAAAGCUCGUAGUUGAAUUUCGGGAUCAAUUGAUUGGUCAUGCCUACGGUAUGUACUAGUCAUAUUGGUUCUCACCUUCUAAUGAACCUUAAUGUCAUUCACUUGAUGUUUUGGGGAAUUAGGACUGUUACCUUGAAAAAAUUAGAGUGUUUAAAGCAGGCUUACGCUUGAAUACAUUAGCAUGGAAUAAUGAAAUAGGACAUCGCAUUCUAUUUUGUUGGUUUCUAGGAUCGAUGUAAUGAUUAAUAGGGAUAGUUGGGGGCAUUAGUAUUCAAUUGUCAGAGGUGAAAUUCUUGGAUUUAUUGAAGACUAACUACUGCGAAAGCAUUUGCCAAGGAUGUUUUCAUUAAUCAAGAACGAAAGUUAGGGGAUCGAAGACGAUCAGAUACCGUCGUAGUCUUAACCAUAAACUAUGCCGACUAGGGAUCGGAUGAUGUUAAUUUUAAAUGA
This 503-nucleotide small RNA is filed under the name uncultured Entrophospora. Its description in RNAcentral is "SSU rRNA". It matches the Rfam family "Eukaryotic small subunit ribosomal RNA", at positions 569 to 1075 of the family's 1831-position model. The record is from RNAcentral. Lineage: Eukaryota; Fungi; Glomeromycota; Glomeromycetes; Entrophosporales; Entrophosporaceae.